Long non-coding RNA from Homo sapiens (human), 1107 nucleotides. Ensembl annotates it as regulator of chondrogenesis RNA. Its record names the gene ROCR. NCBI's taxonomy places the organism in Eukaryota, Metazoa, Chordata, Mammalia, Primates, Hominidae. The record is from Ensembl.
GUUCAGCUCUGGUCCUCACCCACAACUAACCUAAUUUUGAAUGUACAUAAUGUUUCUACUUUCCAAAGGACUCAGCUAAGGGUCAGGUACUAUAGGAAUAUUUUACAGUUUAGUUUAGAUUCGUUUAGAAAAGGAGCUUGCUUCACUUCGCUCAGGGCAUAAGUGUUCUCAAGACUUUUGGGACCUGGUGGAUUGAAGACAUGGUUUUGCUGGCUGUUUGAUUCCAUUUUGGACACAGGGCAGUAAGGAAAGAAUGAUUCAUUUUGACUGUGAUUGCUGGGAAAGAUAUCUUGAAAUGGAGACUGUGAGUACCCUCUCCAAGCCAUGAGAUGGAAGAGUGUCCUUAUAUGAAGACUGCUGGAGUUCCAUUGGCUGGAAGUGCCUCAGGCUGUGGCUGGUGUUUGAAGGGCUGCUCCACACAUAUCAAUCAUCCUUUGACAAGAUCUGGAAGAAAAAAAAAAACAACAAAAACCACCCCCCAAAAAGGUUAAAUUCUGUUCUUUUCAGGGGACAGAUGGUUUAGAAAUUUUCCUAGAAGUGCCCUUGGCAGAUUUAAGUGCUUGCUGCUACUGUUACUAUUUCUAGUAGAAAGUGAGGUUCCGAGAUGGUAUCUGGAUGAUGAACACAGAGAGAGCUUCCAUUGUUCCUCUUCUCCUUUGUGCAGAGGAAGCCGUUGGCUGUGACUACUGAGAACAGAAUGUCCCCUCACAUCCAAUAUGGUAUCAGCCCUGACAUCUCUUAAAUACAGAAAAUAACAAGAGGAAGAAUUCGUCUUCAUGAAUUGAAUUGUCAGUUCUGCAGACAAUUAUCAAAAAUUUUACAGGAACACCUUGAGAGAUGUCGAAGUGUUUAUUUCAACAGCCCAAAGAAGAGAACCACAAUAUGGACACUCUCUGUCUUCACAAAUCCCCCAACGCAUGUUUUAUUCAACCUUCCAAUUUUUAGACAAAGAUUCUUGUUAGCCUCAUGAAAGACCUGGAUACUGGGGGAAAGAUGGUAUCAUAUUUUCAAUUAUGAUCAACUCACCUAAUCUGACGGAAGUGGUAAGAAGGAAGCUGGUGUGUAUGCUGAUUGUGAUUUUGAGAAUAAACUCUUACUUCUAAACCA